Molecule: ribosomal RNA, 467 nt
Filed under: uncultured bacterium
Lineage: Bacteria
Description: partial 16S ribosomal RNA
Rfam family: Bacterial small subunit ribosomal RNA
Source: RNAcentral
GACGAACGCUGGCGGCGUGCUUAACACAUGCAAGUCGAACGGAAAGGCUCCAGCUUGCUGGAGUGCUCGAGUGGCGAACGGGUGAGUAACACGUGGGCAAUCUGCCCUGCACUCUGGGAUAAGCCUGGGAAACUGGGUCUAAUACCGGAUAGGACCUUUCUCCUCAUGGGGUUUGGUGGAAAGUUUUUCGGUGCAGGAUGAGCCCGCGGCCUAUCAGCUUGUUGGUGGGGUAAUGGCCUACCAAGGCGACGACGGGUAGCCGGCCUGAGAGGGUGAUCGGCCACAUUGGGACUAAGAUACGGCCCAGACUCCUACGGGAGGCAGCAGUGGGGAAUAUUGCACAAUGGGCGAAAGCCUGAUGCAGCGACGCCGCGUGAGGGAUGACGGCCUUCGGGUUGUAAACCUCUUUCAGUAGGGACGAAGCGCAAGUGACGGUACCUGCAGAAGAAGCACCGGCUAACUACGUG